RNAcentral lists this ribosomal RNA (509 nucleotides) under uncultured bacterium. RNAcentral's name for it is "bacterial SSU rRNA". It matches the Rfam family "Bacterial small subunit ribosomal RNA", at positions 94 to 670 of the family's 1533-position model. The record is from RNAcentral.
AGUGGCGGACGGGUGAGUAAUGUCUGGGAAACUGCCUGAUGGAGGGGGAUAACUACUGGAAACGGUAGCUAAUACCGCAUACCAUCGGAUGUGCCCAGAUGGGAUUAGCUAGUAGGUGGGGUAAAGGCUCACCUAGGCGACGAUCCCUAGCUGGUCUGAGAGGAUGACCAGCCACACUGGAACUGAGACACGGUCCAGACUCCUACGGGAGGCAGCAGUGGGGAAUAUUGCACAAUGGGCGCAGGCCUGAUGCAGCCAUGCCGCGUGUAUGAAGAAGGCCUUCGGGUUGUAAAGUACUUUCAGCGGGGAGGCGUUACCCGCAGAAGAAGCACCGGCUAACUCCGUGCCAGCAGCCGCGGUAAUACGGAGGGUGCAAGCGUUAAUCGGAAUUACUGGGCGUAAAGCGCACGCAGGCGGUUUGUUAAGUCAGAUGUGAAAUCCCCGGGCUCAACCUGGGAACUGCAUCUGAUACUGGCAAGCUUGAGUCUCGUAGAGGGGGGUAGAAUUCC